RNAcentral lists this ribosomal RNA (468 nucleotides) under Triticum aestivum (bread wheat). Its description in RNAcentral is "partial small subunit ribosomal RNA". Lineage: Eukaryota; Viridiplantae; Streptophyta; Magnoliopsida; Poales; Poaceae. The record is from RNAcentral.
AUGCACUCUGCAUGGAUUAGACUGAGUAAAGUGCCAGACUGCUUUAGACACUUCUUUGGAAUUUGUGAAGUUGCUGCAGCAGUGGGACCUGUGCUGGAGAUUGAUAUGGACACCAUCAAUGAGGAGAAAGUCAGAGCCAUAUGUGGGAUCAGAGAUGUGGAAAAAGUUCCCUCUCAUGUGGAAAUCACUUCCCCUGAUUUGCUCAUGUUCAGAAUAGGGACAGAAGUGGAAAAAGUGGUGGAAAUUGGAUGGUAUAAAGAGGAAAAAAGGAAAAAUGAUAAUAUCAAUGACUUGGAUAACAAAGAUGAUGAGGAAGAAAAAAGAAAGAAAGUUAGAGUGGAAGAUAAAGAUCACAAGGGCAUUACUCUUGGAUGCUUAUCUCUCGGACAAAGUGAGGAGAUAGAUGAGAAAUUGAGAAAGUUAAAGCUCAAGUGGAAGAGAACAUACUACAAUGGCAAAAUGAGAUGA